UUUUUAUAUAUAAAAUGCUCUGAAACCGAAAUACCUUUAGUUUUGGUGAUCCUCUCAGCUCCGGAUCAUUUUCAAGUCCUCUGGUGGUUGCAGUCCUAACCCUGAAACGGGUAGCACCAUAGAAAGAAGCUGGUGGUUAUAGUCCUUACCCUGGAACUGGUAGCACCAUAGAAAGAAGCUGGUGGUUACAGUCCUAACCCUGGAACGUGUAGCACCAUAGAAAGAAGCUAGUGGUUACAGUCCUAACCCUGGAACGGGUAGCACCAUAGAAAGAAGCUGGUGGUUACAGUCCUUACCCUGGAACUGGUAGCACCAUAGAAAGGCGUGACUUUCAGGUUACAAUAGGCUAUAAGUAUACAGCAGAUUGCCAAUUGUCCUCACUUUGAUUGUACUGUAGCACCAUGACCAGGAUCUCUAUAAAUUUAAAUGAGCAGAUUAGUGCUUUCAGGAGGAACGGACAAUCUACUGAAUGCAUUUCAUAAAUACUGGUAGACUUGGGGACUUUGGUCACGGACAGUGCUAAUCAUCAGAUGUCUGUUUUACACCGAACUUGCAAGUCCAGGAAAAUUAACAGGUACAGUAGGCUACGAUACUUUAAUGUAGGCCUAAUAAUGCUAAAAAAUAAUGCUUAAAUAAAUUGACUGCUGGUCUUUAGUGUAUGCUGCACAUUUUCACAUUGUAUUUAAUUUCCAGCAAGACUAUUCAAGCCAUCGACUCACUGAUGAAUGAAGAUGAUGAGCGAUCAGCAAAGGCAAUCUGUAAUCUGCUGGCAUCAUGCCACGAAAUCAACAUCGCUCUAAUUACAGUAAGAAGACAGUUGAAUAAACUUGGGUGGACUUACGGAAAGGCUUGGCCCAGGCAUGGAUCAAAGCUGGCGAGACAUUCAAUAACAUCAUAUUCAUAGUCUAAUCAACCGUGGCCCUUGAGCAAUUUGCUCAAAAAAAAGAACGACGAUCAAGCAAGCCGAGUCCCAAGCAUCUUCUCAAACUCCAUGUGUGGGGGGCAAUUUUUUGCCAGGGCACAGGCCCAUAUUUGAUUUUUGAUGGUAUCAAGGCUCGAGAUUUCUUUGAGGAAGAAAUCAUCGAGAUAUGCUGGACCCUAUGUCAGAGAGGUGUUUCUGGGUACACAUCGUUUCUUUCAAGAUGCAGACAAUGACCCACAACACACUGCCGCCUGGGUUUGCAUUGCAAAUGAGGGCAUAAACUGGGUCAAGACGCCAGCAGAGUAAGUAGACCUUUAUGUAGCAAAAUAAAGGUUCAAUAAAAAUAAAUAAAUAAAAUACCUACAACACCUUCGGUAAGCCUACAGUAUAUCUAAAAAUAUUAUUUCCAUCUCUACAUGUAUUUCUCCUGAUUUAAACCCAAUCGAACUUGUUUGGCAUCAACUGAAAACAUUCAUCCGUAACUCUGCCAAGCCGACAAGCACAGAUGAACUGGUCAAGGCCAUCAAGAGGUUUUGGCGCUAGAAGAUUGAAGAUGUAACAAUGCAACAAAUACAUUGAUCAUCUCAGCAAGGUUUUACCUGUGGUCGUAGUUUGUUGUUUGUUUGUAGUUUAUAUAAACAUCCACAUUUGAAUGUCUUUAUUCUAAUUAUUUUAUUAACAAAAGAACAAAGAUGUUGCUGAAUAAGUACUGUACUGCUGUUCUGAGUUAGAAAUGUAACACUUUAGAGGACUUAAGCAUUGAAUACAUUGCAAGUUGGGAGAUUUUCACAACAGUAGCCGGGUUAUAAAAAGUCUAUUGUCCUGCUAAUAGGAAACAUUUGCAUGAUGGGCUUCACCUGCUACAGUUGUGAAAAACAAGUGUUUGAAAACCUGUUUUCAAAAUGCCUCCAGUUGUCCAUCACUACUGUAAAUAAAAA
Oncorhynchus keta (chum salmon) is the source of this 1860-nucleotide long non-coding RNA. RefSeq lists it as uncharacterized. The transcript is spliced from 4 exons. Lineage: Eukaryota; Metazoa; Chordata; Actinopteri; Salmoniformes; Salmonidae. The record is from RefSeq and is a predicted model, not a curated record.